UCAGACGAUGCGUCAUGCAUAUCAAUAAGCGGAGGAAAAGAAACUAACAAGGAUUCCCUCAGUAACGGCGAGUGAAGCGGGAAGAGCUCAAAUUUGAAAUCUUGAAAGGUCACCUUUCACGAAUUGUAGUUUAAGGAAGUGUUUUCUGUUACGAUCGUAAUAUAAGUUCUUUGGAAUAGGACAUCACAGAGGGUGAGAAUCCCGUCUAUGAUUGCGAUUUGUAGCUUUGUGAUACACUUUCAAAGAGUCGGGUUGUUUGGGAAUGCAGCCCAAAACGGGAGGUAAAUUUCUUCUAAGGCUAAAUAUUGGCGAGAGACCGAUAGCGAACAAGUACCGUGAGGGAAAGAUGAAAAGAACUUUGAAAAGAGAGUUAAAUAGUACGUGAAAUUGUCAAAAGGGAAGCGUUUAACACCAGUGUUGUUUUCUGAAAAUCAACCUCUGUUAGCUUUAUGCAUGUUUGUUUAGACCUAAUCAGCUAUCUUGCAUGUUCUAUUGUUUGCAGUGGUGCACUUUUCAGUUUACAGGUCAACAUCAGUUUUUUUUACCGUAAAAAAGUUAAAGAAAGGUAGCUCAUGGCUCCGGUCGUGAGUGUUAUAGUCUUUUUCCUAUGCGGUAGGAGAGACUGAGGUCUGCAGUGUAGGCUAUUUGGCUAGAUACUCAGGUGCUAUGUGAUACCAUUUCAUAAACAACUUGUUGAUUAUGUUUUGUCUAUUGCAUACUCGCUUGUACUAUCAUACCUACGCUUAGGAUGUUGAAGACUCUACAGAGAUA
RNAcentral lists this ribosomal RNA (771 nucleotides) under uncultured Neocallimastigales. Its description in RNAcentral is "partial large subunit ribosomal RNA". It matches the Rfam family "Eukaryotic large subunit ribosomal RNA", at positions 18 to 640 of the family's 3401-position model. The record is from RNAcentral. Lineage: Eukaryota; Fungi; Neocallimastigomycota; Neocallimastigomycetes; Neocallimastigales.